GCGGAGAGGGAGGAGGAGGAGAAGCGAGAGCAACCGUGGCAGCGAGAGAGGGAGCAGCAGCGACGUCCUCGCCUCCUUCGACUCGCCGCCUUUGGCUCUCGCUCUCGCUCUCGCUCGCUAGAGGAUUAUUGAAUGUAUAGAAGAGUUUGUUGGGGAAGUGUUUGGGUGAUGAUGGAGAUUAAACCAGGUGUCUAUUAUUGACAUGGAGAAUGAGGGCACCAUGCUGUUUAUUGGAAAGACAUCAAGAGCAGAAAUGAUGCAGCACAUCAGAAGCAUUCAGGAGGAGAGAGGCCUGGCCUGGAUGACUAAGAGCCCUCCUUCCGACCACCAUCUUGAGGGGGAGA
Molecule: long non-coding RNA, 344 nt
Organism: Sceloporus undulatus (fence lizard)
Lineage: Eukaryota; Metazoa; Chordata; Lepidosauria; Squamata; Phrynosomatidae
Exons: 3
Source: RefSeq, a predicted model, not a curated record